UACGUAGGGUGCGAGCGUUGUCCGGAAUUAUUGGGCGUAAAGAGCUCGUAGGCGGUGUGUCACGCCGUUCGUGAAAACCCGCGGCUCAACUGUGGGCUUGCAGUCGAUACGGGCAGGCUGGAGUUCGGUAGGGGAGACUGGAAUUCCUGGUGUAGCGGUGAAAUGCGUAGAUAUCAGGAGGAACACCGGUGGCGAAGGCGGCUACCUGGACAGAAACUGACGCUGAGGCGCGAAAGCUAGGGGAGCAAACAGG
RNAcentral lists this ribosomal RNA (253 nucleotides) under uncultured bacterium. RNAcentral describes it as "partial 16S ribosomal RNA". It matches the Rfam family "Bacterial small subunit ribosomal RNA", at positions 524 to 776 of the family's 1533-position model. The record is from RNAcentral.